Phrynosoma platyrhinos (Desert horned lizard) is the source of this 74-nucleotide non-coding RNA. Lineage: Eukaryota; Metazoa; Chordata; Lepidosauria; Squamata; Phrynosomatidae. The record is from the annotation of a GenBank genome assembly.
GCUAGCGUGAUGUAGUGGUUAUAGAGUGUUGGACUAUGACUCUGGAGACUAGGGUUCGAAUCCCGGCUCGGCCA